This 3742-nucleotide long non-coding RNA is filed under the name Capsicum annuum. Its description in RNAcentral is "long non-coding RNA (CANN_LNC000242)". Lineage: Eukaryota; Viridiplantae; Streptophyta; Magnoliopsida; Solanales; Solanaceae. The record is from RNAcentral.
CCAUCUCUUCUUUCCUUAUUAACACCAAAACCCUAAACCUAAUUCAUUCCUCUAAUCUUCUAAACCAAAUCAGCCGCCCCACCCCCUCUCUCUCUCGUCUCUCUCUAAAAAAUCGACCAUCGCCAAAGCCAAAACCGGCGCCUCCUCCGGCAACGCAGCAACCAACCUCCGCUGGUCAAGCUACCGCGAUCCCUCCGUUCUUCGACCAAGCCCCGCGCCACCAGAAGCCCUCAAACCACGCCUCCGACGACCUCUUCCAUUUCCUUCAAACCACCAGCCAACUUUGCCUCUCCGGCGAAGCUCCAAACGUCGCUGUUCCGCCUCCACAACAACAACAGCAACGAUGCUCUGCCGCCCCUCUCCUUUGCCAUCGCCAGACAUCAGUUUGCCUCCGUCCCAAUUCACCACCCACAACAACAAAAACAACAGCGGCAUUGCCGCCCUUUGCCGCCGCUGCUCCGGUCGAGUACACGAAACAUGACGGAUUCUUAAAUCCGUCAAAGGUUUGAUUUAUUGUUCAAUUUCAUUUCUUUCCUUAAGAUAUAAUCUGCGAUCUGAAAUUGAUGAAACUGGUUUAAGAGUUUUGAUAUAAUUUUUUAUAAUAUGAAUUUGUUAACGUGCUUAGGUCGUCAUAUAAAGUUUUGAUUUUAGUGAUGUUUAAUUACGCCCUAAAUAUUUUUGAAUUGGUGGUUGAUUGAUAUUCAUAUUCAGCUUGUGGAAUCAUUGUUCUAGCUUGUGAAAUUGUUAUUCUUGCUUAUGGGUUGCAUUUUUCUGAUCUAUUCAUUGGCAAAAUAUUUGAUGCAUAGGUGGAUAGAUUCUUCUUAAUCGUGAUGGAUUUGACACUUAGUGUUUGUAGUGAAGAAUAUUUGAUUUAACUGAUACAAUGAGAUUGAUUUUUGUGAUCAAAUUUUGGGCAUAAUCAAAUUACCGUGAUAAUGAAAUGUUAUACUUGAUCAUCUGUCCAAUCUUAUCGCAUAUGGUAAAUAUUGAAACUGAUGCAUUUUAUUCAUUCUUUUGUCCACCUAAUUACGGUAAAUUUGGCUUCUAAUCGAUUCCAUCUAGUUAAUUAACAAAAAUAAUAUUGUUGUUACUUUUCUAAAUAUUGGCUUUCCUUUUAUUCCUUGGAUUGAUUUGUAUGUGAUUGAUUCAGUUAGGAGAAAUUCUCUCUUAAUUGGUUGACAAGAAUAUUGUUUUGAUAUUUUUAUCUUGGUAUGGUUUUACAUUACUUGGCUAUAAAAAUAAAUCCUCCUCGUCCUUUGAGGGGAACUGACACACUAUGAUUUCUAAUCUCCUCUCUACCCUCUCGCAUACAAAAAGACAAAUAUUGAUGUUCCUUUUCUCUGGCAGAACUUACAAUAUAUAUUCCCUCUCCUAUUUUAUUUUGGUCUGAUACACUCUCUAUACGAAAACAUGAAAAGAGAGACACAAUAUUUUUGCUCGUUGCUUUCAAAAUACUUGGUUCAAUCUCUGACUAUAGUUGCUCCCUUUGUUGCAAUAUUCUGAUUUUAUUUUCAUAUUAAUUCACCAAACCGGUUAGUUUUCUUAUUUCAUUUUUCGUAGUCCUAAACUCCUUUAAUGAUGACAUGUUGUCGCUUUUGUGAUUACUUGAAUUAUUUUGUUGUGUUGUCUUUUGUGAUUGUUAUCAUGUUUUAUUCGAUCAAUGUAAGAAUCCGUAUACCAUACAACUUGUUUGUGUUUGUGUACUUUGUGAUGUUCGAGCAGGUACUUUGGUCGAGUUGUGCUAGAAUGUUGCUGUCUUCAUGGAUAUAUCGCCUUGAUUUACUUUUUAUUUCUCUUUUAUUACGAUUCAAAUUUGUACUAAUGUGUUGUGUAAACAUCUAUAUAGUAAUAAAUUAUGAAGACUGCUUGGGAGCGGGGGUUUAUGUGUUUUACGUACCAUGUGAAUCACUUAGGCAAAUAAAUUUAGGAUUUAUUACUUGACUUGUUUGUCAUUUAGACAAAUCUAAUUUAGGAUUUAUUUCAAUCGCCUAGAAAUCAUGUUUUUAGGAGUUUAAUUAAUAUCCGCCUUGCUAAAUCACAUUUGAACACGAUAACUUAAUUUACAACAUGUUUAUUGACUCUUGCAUGUUUAACAAUUGUGGACAUAUUACAAAAUGACAUUAUUAGCGUUUAAAUCACUCUUUCAACAAUUAUACUCUUAGCAUUCAAAAUAACAUUUUUUGGCAUUUUAAAUAAUAUUUUCAACACAUUAAAUAAUGUUUUCUGCAUAUUAAAAUUAAUUUUCAGCACAUUAGUUAAUUUGCAGUAUUAUAAAAUAAUAUUUUUGGCACUAUAAUUAAUUUUCAGCAUUCCUAUUUGUCUUUCCGUAUAUUUCAUUAAUUUUUACUUAGUAAAACAAUUUUCAGCAUCUACGUAUUAAAAAAAAUAGCUUUUUAUUUCUCUGUCAAAGUCAUGGUGCGGUUUUUGACUUUCACAAUUUUAAACUAGACAUGACAUUUUACUCUUUGUACUAUCUCCUAACCUAUAGUUAGCGGGAAAUUAAAAAGAAUCACGAGGUCUAAUUUUUAUAUUUUAAAUUAAUUUGAUACAGUUUCGGGAGCAUCACGUACCAAAAGUUUAAAAAAGCGGAGACUAUGCAUACAUACAUAAAUAUUUUUUUAUUUGUCUUUAAAAAUUAUAAUGUUAUUAUUUUCACUAAAACUGACCUCCAAUUAAAAUUGUUGCUAAGUUGAAUGAGCGCGAUUUGAUAUUGUGGAAUCGUUUCUGUAAAGCAACAAACAGUUUUUUAAGAAACAAAAACUAUCUUCUUUUUUUUUUUUUAAGUUUUGAAUAUUAUUCCUCUAUCAAAAUAAGUUAGCUACUGUGCAUUUUUCUUAUUUCUUUACUUAUUUGGGGUAGUUUAAAAUUUUUUAUUUGCUUAGUAAUUUUUGUUAUGAUUUAUGUCACCUCUUUUUCCUCGCUUGUCUUAUUUACAUAUUUUUAUCGAUUUUAUCACUUAGAUAAUUAAUAAUUAGAAAUGACAAAAAUAGCCUGUGUUUGUUUAUUAAUUACAUUAUCACUUAGUUAACAUUUAAGUUAAUAAAACAAAAGACCUUUAUUUGAACACAUAGAAUCCCCAGGUAAAGUACGAAUUUGGUCAGGAACCACCUUUGUGGACCUCAAAAGGUGCCUAACACCUUCCUUUUGGGGUAAUUUGAACCCUUACCCGAACUCUGGUGAACUAAGACAAAAUAACAAAAUAGGUUCGUAGUUAGCCUAGACCGAUGCCCUAAUGCACCUUAAUUCUUUAGGUGGUGACUCUUCACACUCUUUCUUAACGCAAUCUCAAAAAGAGUUUGUCACGUCAAAUCCGCUUUCCACGAGGAAAAUGGGGCGCGACAACUAUCUCACUGCGAAAUCUUGCAGUCUUGUCAGACGGGAAGAACCGAAUAAAAAAUUUUCUGGCCAUGUUAUCCCAUGAUGUGAUUGAAUUUGCUAGUUCUACAUUCAACCACUUUUUUGCUUCCCUAAUCAGUGAAAAGGCGAAUAAUGCCAUCCUCACAUAAUCUGCAUUCACGCCCGUAGGAAUGAACGUGUCACUGAUUUCCAAAAAAUUUUGCAAGAAGACCUGUGGAUCUUCAUGUGAAAGCCCAAUGAACUGUCCACUGCUAAUCAUAAGUUGUACCAUAUUCUGUUAAGCUUAAAAUUGCCUCUAGCUGUCGGCUUCUGAAACGGGGAGGUCAAAUUGGUUGGAAAUAGGAUUGCCACUUCUGUGACUGUCCUGUGGGUUGCUUGUUCAUCA